CUUAAAAGCUUUAUUUACAUAUGCUGAACACAGCCAGUAAGCAACAGUAACAUGUUGAACCAUUACUGAGCAAAAGAAGGCAGAAAAACAGCAGAAAAGUGUAGUGGAAGGCCCUGGCAUGUACCACUGUACACAUUUGAUAUUUGAGUAUGUAUGCAUCACAGUUCCAUAUGCGUCUACUGUUGAGCAAGCAACCAAUAUAUGAGUUUUGUACCACUGUACUGUUUUAGUUCCAAGUAAAUAACACUGAAACAAGUUAAAAACACAGACUGAGGGGGCUUUCAGUAGUUUACAAAAGUGUGAAUAAUUUUGAAGGCAUUAAUGGCAAUCAUGUGUCUCCUAAUGUAACAGUUUUAACACUCAGGAGUUCUGCUCUAGGAUGUUACUGUUCAAUUCAAAGUUCAGUGACCACUGUUCAGUGGUCAAACUUCUGGUCUGUUCCAGACAACCUUUUUACAGUGGCAGAAAAAGGAACUGCAUGAGGCCACACAAACAUUUCUUCCCUAUUUCAGAGGAUUUUAUGACUUUCAGACACAAAAUUUAUCAUAGUAUUAUUAUAUGUUGGGAAAAUUAAUCAGUUUUUCUGUUUAUCACUGUGGUUUAUCCAAUGGCCUAAUUAGCUGUGAGAACUGGGUCUCUAAUCCCUUGUCUGGCUCUGACCUUGAGUGACUUUGGGCAAAAAAAAAUUAUUUCUCAGCUUGCUUUUAUCCAUCAGGAAGAUACUAAUGUUGAAUUUUUCUCCUCAUGGCUUUAAAGGAAGUCUCACUUAUGAAUUCUUCUGGUGAACGGGAGAGAAAGAGUAAGAAAGCCAAUUAUAGCAGGCUCCUUCCUUAGAGGCAGAAAGAUUCAUCCACAACAAAACCUUAUAAACCUAACUAAAAUAUUUAUCUCUCCUUCUGCCUGUGGAAUAACAGCAUGUGGGUUUGAUAAACAGUAUUGUUUAAAACCAGGACAGUAUAGGUUAUUUAUCACGAUAAUGCUAAGAAAAUAAUAUUUUCUACUGGUGGCCAUGACCUUGAAAAGGACAUUCAAAUUCUGUUAUGUACCUCUUUGUACAUACAGAUAGAGUUGCCACGUACUAAUCACUGAGAGCCUAGUUAUCUUACAUUUGCAGUAUUUGAAGAGACAAUCAGCAAAACUCCUUCUGAAGGAUAUAAAACAGGUGCUGCAUAUAAUGCUGCAUGUACAGGCAUAUUCUAACACAAUUCCAAAAGAACCAAGACUUUCAUCUAUAUUGUGUCUUUGGGUAUAGAUACAGACCUUAAGGCAAGAAAACAGGAAAUAACAGGAUUACAGUUUUAAUUUUGGACUUCAAGUCUACAAAGAUGGAGAAUGCACCACAGAAGAGGCACCAUGUGCACACAAGGGAUAUCUGAGUAACACUUAACAGAGGAAAGUUUAUUGAACUGGUUUUUAACUGAAGUGCGGAGAAACAAAAUUAUCAGAUCAAGGACUUCUAAGAUUAAGCACAGAAUCUUCCAGGUCCCACUGAAAUACUUGGCAUGCAGUCUGUAUUUUGUCAGACGCAUGGGGAGAAGCUCAUGUGGGAGGUCACUCUUUUGUAGUAGGAUAAAACCAAGCGCAGCCAACACAGCAUUGUUGUGCUCAGAGCGAAGAAAGUUAUCUUCAGGAAAAGUCACAGUCUCUCACAGAAAUUAAGUAUCUCUAGCCAGCCCAGUUACUAGCUUGCUCUUCUAGGAACUGAAAGAGAGCAACUGGUGGUCUGUAUUUUGCAUCAGGGCGAAACAAUUGCCAUUUGCAUUUAAAAUUGUUGGUGACAAAAUAAAGUAGUGCAAAACAUCUUACUCACUGCUCCAGUCUGUGCACUGUUGCUGUGAAAUGUUGGCAGGAUAGGCACAGCUUUGUCACCAGAACUAAACUGGUGGCAAACACUCUGAGACAUGCUUUCAUAGUUUGGUAGUGAAUAUUAUGACAGCUGAAAGGUGCCCCUCAGGUUCUUGUCAUCUGUGGUGUACUUCUUGCAACCUUUUUGCAUGGUUAUUGACUGUCUGCCUGCUCUCAUAAGAAGUCAUUGGCUCCCAUCAAAAUGGUUCUCAAAAUGAUCUCCAUUUUCCCCUACAGCUUAUCUAACUCACAGGUAUUGUUUGCUGUCACUGAAAAUGCCCACAACACGCUGGAACUUUAGACUUUUAGACCCAGGUUAUCGUCUCAGUAGGCACUGUUUAUGAAACUGCAUGCAGCUAAAGGAAAGCUGGAAGUGAACCAGGUGGUGAGAAACCAGGAACACCUUUGUACCAGGAACAGAGUGCACAUGCAUGUAAGGUAUCAAGGCUGUAAAAGGCAUGGCAGUGAAGCAUGGGAGUGAGGUGGUGCCAGGAAUGAGGUCGGCACUUCCUCCUUUCAACACCUUCUGGUUCACUUUUUCCUUUCCCAGCACCUUGAUACUUAAGCUGCACUGGUGUGGGCCCUCAUGGCCUUUGAAACAGGCUGAGAAGAUAUUUCACCAACAUAAAUGCUUAAGAGUUGUUGGGCUGAGACAGCCAUAUGGGAGCUGUGGUGUAAGAAAGUAGAGAAGAUAGAGGUGUUGGAUUGGCAAAGGGAAAAGAUGAAGGAAUGCCACUGAGCACGGUAGAUGUAAAACUUGGAGAAAAUUAAAGCAGGUGGGAGAAGGUAAAAAAGAUGUGUUGCAUCCAUGCUAUUAUCAUGGAUGGAAUUUAGGGAAAGGCCAGGAAGCCACAGUAAUAAAGGCAGAAACAAAAUGCAUUAUAUAUGUGUCCUGUGCAUCUGAACCAGGGAAGAAACAUGACCCUGUUGCAGGUCUUUCACUCAUUUCAAGUUUGGCCUGCUUCCAUGAAGUGGCAGGAAACCAACAAUGACAGGACAAAAAGUCCUCGUGGUGUGGACAAACUCCACUUGUCUGGAGUACAGGGCCUUGAGGAGAAGCCACAGGAGAAAGUGGCUGAGGUCCUUUGAUCUGUUCUUCCUGGACAAGACUGAAGGGAGACCUCAUUGCAGUCUACAACUUCCUCGAGGGGAAGAGGAGGGGCAGACACUGAUCUCUUUAUCUGUGACGACCAGUGACAAGAGCCGAAGGCACAGCAUGAAGUUUUGUCAGAGGAGGUUAGGCUGGACAUUAAAGAGAGGUCCUUCACCCAGAGAGUGGCUGGGCACUGGAGCAGGCUCUUCAGGAAAGUGAUCACCGCACUAAGCCUGAAGGAAUUCAAGAAGCAUUGGAAAACACUCUCAGGCAUAUGGUUUCAUUUAUGGGCUUGGUCUUAUUUGAUUUCACGACCUCUGUGACUCUCUUCCAAGUCAACCUAUUCUGUGGUUCUGUGUAUUCUGUGAGUUGGACAACACACGGCACACCGUAGGCACCCUCUUUAGAGAGCUGGAGUUUAACUGAAGAACGCUUCGAGCUGUCCUCUGCAGGCCUGACACAGGCACAACACGGGGAAAAAAAAAAAAAAAACCAAAAAAAAAAAAA
Molecule: long non-coding RNA, 3445 nt
Filed under: Taeniopygia guttata (zebra finch)
Lineage: Eukaryota; Metazoa; Chordata; Aves; Passeriformes; Estrildidae
Description: lncRNA (ENSTGUG00000028040.1)
Source: RNAcentral